AUGGCUGCGGCGGGCGGGCGGCGGCGCGCGUGCGCGCUGGGUCCCGGAGCUGCGGGCGGGAGGCGGGGACGGUGGGGGAGGGGAGCGGGCUGGAGCGCGGCGGAGCUCCUGCCGCCGCCGCAGCCGCUGCCGCCGCAGCGAAGAGGCCAUGUUGUGUGGUGUGUGGGGCGGGGGGAGGAGGAGGAGGGAGUAAAGCCUAGAGAGGAGACGGGAGAGAGACACCACACACACGGCACAAGAUGGCCGGAGAGGCAGCAGCACCCCGAGCUGUCAGGCGUUCCGCCGCGGCCGCGGGGCCCACCAGCCGGCGGGGAGCUACGCCCGGACGGCCCGCAGGCCCGUGGGAGUGGGGCGGCCGCGGCUGAGGCGAGGCGGGCCGCGCGCGUUGGCGUCAGAGCCCGCGGCAGAGGCUCCCAGAGCGGCCGGGCCCACGACGCCGAAAGCGCCGCUGCGGUUGCCGCCUCGGAGGCUUCCCCGGGCCCCGGCGGCUGGACCCGGCGCGGGCGGGAGGCUCGGGCGGGCGGUCCGGCCCGGGACUCGGACUUGGGCGACCAGGAGGUGCCGGCUGCCGCGCUCGGACCCGGUGACUUAGAGAUUAAAAUAAAUUUGGUUGCUGAUGGUUCUGAACAAAUAGAGUUCUUUUAUUUGAGGUAUGCCAUUUUGAAGACUGAGACGUUGGAGUUUUAUCCUUGAGGAUAAAAGAAAUCUUUGGGAAAGUCAGUAUUUUAUAUAGCAAAAAUAAUGAACCUCAAAGUGAAUCCUCUAAAGGCCCCAUACAAUGAAGUAGACAUUGGUGGAAGCAUUUA
Molecule: long non-coding RNA, 806 nt
Filed under: Macaca mulatta (Rhesus monkey)
Lineage: Eukaryota; Metazoa; Chordata; Mammalia; Primates; Cercopithecidae
Description: lncRNA (ENSMMUG00000056190.1)
Source: RNAcentral